This 426-nucleotide ribosomal RNA is filed under the name uncultured archaeon. RNAcentral's name for it is "bacterial SSU rRNA". It matches the Rfam family "Archaeal small subunit ribosomal RNA", at positions 474 to 903 of the family's 1478-position model. The record is from RNAcentral.
CACCAGCCCCCGAGUGGUGGGGAUGAUUAUUUGGCCUAAAGCGUCCGUAGCCGGCCCGGUAAAUCUCUCGUUAAAUCCAGCGUUCCAAGCGUUGGGCUGCGAGGGAGACUGCCAGGCUAGAGGGUGGGAGAGGUCAGCGGUAUUCCUGGGGUAGGGGCGAAAUCCAUUGAUCCCAGGAGGACCACCAGUGGCGAAGGCUGCUAACUAGAACACGCCUGACGGUGAGGGACGAAAGCUGGGGUAGCGAAUCGGAUUAGAUACCCGAGUAGUCCCAGCCGUAAACGAUGCAGGCUAGGUGUUGGGGCGGCCACGCGCCGCCUCAGUGCCACAGGGAAGCCAUUAAGCCUGCCGCCUGGGGAGUACGGCCGCAAGGCUGAAACUUAAGGAAUUGGCGGGGAGCACUACCAGGCGUGAAGCCUGCGGUUU